Passer domesticus (house sparrow) is the source of this 316-nucleotide long non-coding RNA. RefSeq lists it as uncharacterized. The transcript has 3 exons. Lineage: Eukaryota; Metazoa; Chordata; Aves; Passeriformes; Passeridae. The record is from RefSeq and is a predicted model, not a curated record.
ACAGAGAAAACAGUUAUGGAGCUCUGGACGGCUGGCAGAAACCUCGCCAAGCCCAAGGCUGAUGGAGUCUGGCAGGAUCCCAGCACUACAGCCCAUAGAUGAGCUUCACCCACCUCAAUUCACUCCCCAUCCACCAAAGGAGAUGAGAACAUGUUUGCAUUGCCCAGCGUCUCGAUGGAGGCACUUCAAGGCUGGAAAGCAGGAGGCAGCCACAGCCCUGACUGAAGAGCAGGAUUUGACCCAGUCUUCAGGAGCAGAGGCUUCCAGUAUCCUGCCAGUGUCAGGUGUGCUGCAGCCAGGAGAGAGCCAGCAGGUC